AAAUUAAGCCCGUGAUUUUUCUCAGCGUUAGCAUUAGCUUCUCCUGUUUUAUAUUAAUUUAUUUUAAUUAUUUACUACGAUUUCAGCUACAAAUUCAGUCUAUUUUAAGUUUAUGAACGACUAAACUAACAUAUGUGCCAAAUAUAAACGAGUUUUACUAAAAUCUGAAGACUUUUAAGCAAAUUAACCUUCCUGAGAGUGAAAUGGGGACAGCUUCAUCUGAGAAGCUCCAAUUUUCUGAGAAAGUCUGGUGCUCUUCAUAUUGUGGUGCUGUUCAUCUUGAGGACAGGUGUUUACUCAGCAAUUUUGAUCUACCUGAAGAUUCUGCAGUCCCGCGAGAACGUCCUGUACUUUAUCUCCAGUACUGCUUAUGAGUCUAUUGGACAGAAUAGCCCUGAUUUCUGAAAAUUACUGAAACUAAACAAAGCGACUCAUCUUCUGCUUCAGUUGCUACACUCACAGUCUAUCACCAUGUCUGGUCCUGAUUAUCAUGAUGAUUCUAAUGGUGCUGGAAUCACAGCCACAGUCUUCAUCGCUGUCAGUAUGGUCGGGAGCUUGCCUUUCCUGUGCUGCCUCCGCGCUCUGUAUAGGAACCUCAAGAGCGGAGGCCGAAAGCCGAUCUUCGUCAUCGUCCUCAUCAUCAACAUUCUUCUACAGUUUUCCUCUUGUGCAGCUGGGAUGCAGCUCAAUUUAAACUAUGGCUGUUUAGAGGACUGUGUUAGAGCAUACAGAGUGUUUAAUAUGGCUCAGCUCUGUGGGAUCUUCCUGCACCAGCUGGUGGCGCUAGAGAGCGUACUGUCUCUGAGGAACCCGCUCUACACCACAGACCUCUUCUCCAUGCCGUGUUCAAUCACUCUCUCCGUCGCUCUCUACGUCUUUGCCUUUGCCUGCGUAUUCUUGAAUGAUUUUGGACAGUUUGCAUUCUGUCUUCUCUCCGUCCUAAUAUUAAUACUAACAGUCGUUUUCACCUUUACAGCUCCGCCUUCUCCACCCUCUGAUCCAGACACACACAAUAAAACAACAUACUGGAUUCUGGCAGUUGCCACCGUUACAAUGGUUGUCGCCUAUUUGCCCUUUUUGAUGACUGUGCUUAUCAGGAUAUGCAAGAUUUAUUCAGGUGUUUUCCAGGUUUCUGAAAAAAUAGCAGGUGCACUUAAAGUGACCUCUUCUAUGAGGAGUCUGAGAGCGAUCUCUGACGCAUUCCUGUGUGUACUGGUCUUCAGGAAGGUUCUCCCGGUUCAGACUGCACAAACACAGGGCCUGAUUUAUCUGCAAAUACUCCCAAAUUCCAACUAAAAAUAUUGUCAUUUAGAGCAUUUAUAUGCAAUCUGUAGUGGUGCUUCAGGGGCGCGAGGUACCGUCGUAAAUAAUUUGUCAUUAAUUGGUUAUAUAUUUUUUUUUUUUUUCAAGCCUGCAAUAUUUGUAUUGAUACUGUUACCAAAUAAUUUUAUGUUACAGAUUUUGUAUUUUUCUAUAAAAAGUGUUUUAUUGUUGCCUGCAAAGCUGUUGAGUCUAAUAAAUAUAUAAAUAAAUUUCUCAGUCGUUUAUCAUUUUUAUUGUGGGGUUAUCAAAAUCAAAUCAGGUUUAUUUGCACAUUAUCACAUUAAAAUAGGGGUAAAAUGUGAGUAAAAUUAUGUAGUAAUGAGUUUGUUGUAGUAAUGAGUUAUGUAGUAUGUAGUAAUGAGCAACGUUAUUUAUUUUUUUUAAACAGAAAAUAGGGACGCUGUAAUACUGAGUAAAAUACCACAUAUGCAUUCUACUGGAGUAUUAUUUUUACUUCACUACUGUAUUAAGUUCUAAAAUGUUGUAUCUACUGGAGUAUUAUUUUUACUUCACUACUUUACUUAAAUGCUAAAAUCCUGUAUCUGUGUCUACUGGAGUAUUAUUUUUACUUCACUACUGUACUUAAGUACUAAAAUACUGUAUCUACUGGAGUAUUAUUUUUACUUCACCACUGUAUUAAGUUCUAAAAUGUUGUAUCUACUGGAGUAUUAUUUUUACUUCACUACUUUACUUAAGGACUAAAAUGCUGUAUCUGUAUCUACUGGAGUAUUAUUUUUACUUCACUACUGUACUUAAGUACUAAAAUGAUGUAUCUUUACUCUACUGGAGUAUUAGUUUUAUGCAUGGCAUUUGUGUGCUGCUAAGAGAGCGUAAAAAGUCCAAAAAAGAAGAUAAAAACGGCAAACUAGAGCAGAGGGCCUCGGGGGGCGUCAUGAUGCACUGUGUUCAGUUAACGGAGCUCACUGUACUUAAGUAUUAAAAUACUGUAUCUACUGGAGUAUUAUUUUUACUUCACCACUGUAUUAAGUUCUAAAAUGUUGUAUCUACUGGAGUAUUAUUUUUACUGCACUACUGUACUUAAGUACUAAAAUGCUGUAUCUGUAUCUACUGGAGUAUUAUUUUUACUUCACUACUGUACUUAAGAAAUCCACCUGUGCACAAGAAACAAGGCUGACGGUCAGUACUGGAUGCUGGUGAUCUUCAGGCACUCAGGCAGCACUGCAUUAUGAACAGGUUGUUCUGAUUCUGUACUGGAAAUCACUUCCUGUGCACAUGCAGUAAACACUUGCAAGUUUAACUUAUAUUUUCUUUUUCAUUUUAUUUAAAUUUAUCUUGAGAUAUUUGUUUAAGUUUAAAUUUUAGCCCAGAUGAAGCUCUUUAAGCACCAACGUUUUUUUUCAAUAAGUUACCUUUUUACUGUAAACCUUUGCUUUAAAUACAGAACUUCAUGAUGACCAGAUUGUUAGUUAAUACUUUACAAGUCAACAUUGCUAAUAUGUUUGAUUGCUAAUAUGUUUGAU
Astyanax mexicanus (Mexican tetra) is the source of this 2804-nucleotide RNA transcript. It is a transcript of the gene named exocyst complex component 1 like, with no coding region annotated. The transcript has 5 exons. Lineage: Eukaryota; Metazoa; Chordata; Actinopteri; Characiformes; Acestrorhamphidae. The record is from RefSeq and is a predicted model, not a curated record.